GAUGAAGAACGUAGCGAAAUGCGAUACUUGGUGUGAAUUGCAGAAUCCCGUGAACCAUCGAGUCUUUGAACGCAAGUUGCGCCUCAAGCCAUUAGGUUGAGGGCACAUCUGCCUGGGCGUCACAUAUCGUUGCCUGAUGCCAGUUUCCUCGUGAUGGGUGACUGUGCAGGGCGAAUGAUGGCUUCCCGUGAGCAUUGUUGCCUCAUGGUUGGUUGAAAAUUGAGUCCUUGGUAGGGAGCGCCGUGAUAGAUGGUGGUUGAGUGACGAACGAGACCCAAUCAUGUGAGACCCCUACCGAAUUUGGCCUUCAUGACCCACAUGCGUCUUUGGAACGCUCAUGACGAGACCUCAGGUCAGGCGGGGCUACCCGCUGAGUUUAAGCAUAUCAAUAAGCGGAGGA
RNAcentral lists this unclassified non-coding RNA (400 nucleotides) under soil metagenome. RNAcentral's name for it is "partial contains 5.8S ribosomal RNA, internal transcribed spacer 2, and large subunit ribosomal RNA". The stretch from base 1 to 122 matches the Rfam family "5.8S ribosomal RNA", at positions 35 to 154 of the family's 154-position model. The record is from RNAcentral.